This 497-nucleotide ribosomal RNA is filed under the name uncultured bacterium. RNAcentral describes it as "partial 16S ribosomal RNA". It matches the Rfam family "Bacterial small subunit ribosomal RNA", at positions 28 to 507 of the family's 1533-position model. The record is from RNAcentral.
GACGAACGCUGGCGGCGUGCCUAAUACAUGCAAGUUGAGCGCUGAAGGUUGGUACUUGUACCAACUGGAUGAGCAGCGAACGGGUGAGUAACGCGUGGGGAAUCUGCCUUUGAGCGGGGGACAACAUUUGGAAACGAAUGCUAAUACCGCAUAAAAACUUUAAACACAAGUUUUAAGUUUGAAAGAUGCAAUUGCAUCACUCAAAGAUGAUCCCGCGUUGUAUUAGCUAGUUGGUGAGGUAAAGGCUCACCAAGGCGAUGAUACAUAGCCGACCUGAGAGGGUGAGCGGCCACAUUGGGACUGGGACGCGGCCCAAACUCCUACGGGAGGCAGCAGUAGGGAAUCUUCGGCAAUGGACGAAAGUCUGACCGAGCAACGCCGCGUGAGUGAAGAAGGUUUUCGGAUCGUAAAACUCUGUUGGUAGAGAAGAACGUUGGUGAGAGUGGAAAGCUCAUAAAGUGACGGUAACUACCCAGAAAGGGACGGCUAACUACGUG